UUGAACGCUGGCGGCAUGCCUUACCCCUGCAAGUCGAACGGUAACGGGCCUUCGGGUGCCGACGAGUGGCGAACGGGUGAGUAAUACAUCGGAACGUGCCCGAUCGUGGGGGAUAACGAGGCGAAAGCUUUGCUAAUACCGCAUACGAUCUACGGAUGAAAGCAGGGGACCGCAAGGCCUUGCGCGGACGGAGCGGCCGAUGGCAGAUUAGGUAGUUGGUGGGAUAAAAGCUUACCAAGCCGACGAUCUGUAGCUGGUCUGAGAGGAUGAUCAGCCACACUGGGACUGAGACACGGCCCAGACUCCUACGGGAGGCAGCAGUGGGGAAUUUUGGACAAUGGGCGCAAGCCUGAUCCAGCCAUGCCGCGUGCAGGAUGAAGGCCUUCGGGUUGUAAACUGCUUUUGUACGGAACGAAAAGCCUUCUUUUAAUACAGGAGGGUCAUGACGGUACCGUAAGAAUAAGCACCGGCUAACUACGUG
RNAcentral lists this ribosomal RNA (481 nucleotides) under uncultured bacterium. RNAcentral's name for it is "partial 16S ribosomal RNA". It matches the Rfam family "Bacterial small subunit ribosomal RNA", at positions 30 to 507 of the family's 1533-position model. The record is from RNAcentral.